Molecule: ribosomal RNA, 528 nt
Rfam family: 5.8S ribosomal RNA (bases 144-297)
UGUAUACCGUACCCUGUUGCUUCGGCGGGCCCGCCUCACGGCCGCCGGGGGGCCUCGCGCCCCCGGGCCCGCGCCCGCCGAAGACCCCAACACGAACACUGUCUGAAAAGUGCAGUCUGAGUCGAUUGUUACCAAUCAGUCAAAACUUUCAACAAUGGAUCUCUUGGUUCCGGCAUCGAUGAAGAACGCAGCGAAAUGCGAUAACUAAUGUGAAUUGCAGAAUUCAGUGAAUCAUCGAGUCUUUGAACGCACAUUGCGCCCCCUGGUAUUCCGGGGGGCAUGCCUGUCCGAGCGUCAUUGCUGCCCUCAAGCACGGCUUGUGUGUUGGGCCCCGUCCCCGGUACCCCCGGGGACGGGCCCGAAAGGCAGCGGCGGCACCGCGUCCGGUCCUCGAGCGUAUGGGGCUUUGUCACCCGCUCCGCAGGCCCGGCCGGCGCCAGCCGACCAACCCAACCAUUUUCUACAGGUUGACCUCGGAUCAGGUAGGGAUACCCGCUGAACUUAAGCAUAUCAAUAAGGCGAAAGGAA